This 70-nucleotide transfer RNA is filed under the name Perlodes sp. YZD-2018. RNAcentral describes it as "tRNA-Lys". The record is from RNAcentral. Lineage: Eukaryota; Metazoa; Arthropoda; Insecta; Plecoptera; Perlodidae.
CAUCCGGUGACUGAAAGCAAGUAAUGGUCUCUUAAACCGUUGUAUAGUAAUGUCGCACCUACUCCUGAUG